UACGGAGGGUGCAAGCGUUGUCCGGAAUCACUGGGCGUAAAGGGCGCGUAGGCGGCUCAUGAAGGCUGUGGUGAAAGUCCGGGGCUCAACCUCGGAUCGGCCGUGGCGACUCGUGGGCUGGAGCACUGUAGAGGCGGGUGGAAUUCCGGGUGGAGCGGUGGAAUGCGUAGAGAUCCGGAAGAACACCAGUGGCGAAGGCGGCCCGCUGGGCAGUGGCUGACGCUGAGGCGCGACAGCGUGGGGAGCAAACAGG
RNAcentral lists this ribosomal RNA (253 nucleotides) under uncultured bacterium. RNAcentral describes it as "partial 16S ribosomal RNA". It matches the Rfam family "Bacterial small subunit ribosomal RNA", at positions 524 to 776 of the family's 1533-position model. The record is from RNAcentral.